This 916-nucleotide ribosomal RNA is filed under the name uncultured bacterium. RNAcentral describes it as "bacterial SSU rRNA". It matches the Rfam family "Bacterial small subunit ribosomal RNA", at positions 246 to 1155 of the family's 1533-position model. The record is from RNAcentral.
UUGUUGGUAAGGUAAAAGCUUACCAAGGCUUCGAUCAGUAGCUGGUCUGAGAGGACGACCAGCCACACUGGGACUGAGACACGGCCCAGACUCCUACGGGAGGCAGCAGUGGGGAAUUUUGGACAAUGGGGGCAACCCUGAUCCAGCCAUGCCGCGUGAGUGAAGAAGGCCUUCGGGUUGUAAAGCUCUUUCAGCCGGAACGAAACGGUUACGGUUAACACCCGUGACUACUGACGGUACCGGAAGAAGAAGCACCGGCUAACUACGUGCCAGCAGCCGCGGUAAUACGUAGGGUGCGAGCGUUAAUCGGAAUUACUGGGCGUAAAGCGUGCGCAGGUGGUUUUGUAAGUCAGAUGUGAAAGCCCCGGGCUCAACCUGGGAACUGCGUUUGAAACUACAAGACUUGAGUGUGGCAGAGGGGGGUGGAAUUCCGCGUGUAGCAGUGAAAUGCGUAGAGAUGUGGAGGAACACCGAUGGCGAAGGCAGCCCCCUGGGUCAACACUGACGCUCAGGCGCGAAAGCAUGGGGAGCAAACAGGAUUAGAUACCCUGGUAGUCCAUGCCCUAAACGAUGUCAACUAGUUGUCGGGCCUUUACGGGCUUGGUAACGUAGCUAACGCGUGAAGUUGACCGCCUGGGGAGUACGAUCGCAAGAUUAAAACUCAAAUGAAUUGACGGGGACCCGCACAAGCGGUGGAUUAUGUGGAUUAAUUCGAUGCAACGCGAAAAACCUUACCUACCCUUGACAUGUAUCGAAGCCCGCAGAAAAGCGGGGGUGCCCGAAAGGGAACGAUAACACAGGUGCUGCAUGGCUGUCGUCAGCUCGUGUCGUGAGAUGUUGGGUUAAGUCCCGCAACGAGCGCAACCCUUGUCAUUAAUUGCCAUCAUUUAGUUGGGCACUUUAAUGAGACUGCCGG